AACUUACAAAUCACAUGAUGAGUUCCUAGCAUAACAAACUACCUACCACAGCCAUACUUGUUAUAACAUCUUUUAUUCACAUUGAGUUUGAUCGAGCUGUGUAGACCCUUAGGAGCUUUUCAUGUGGUUAAAUUAAGAUAUUCACUUGCACACAUCUACCACAGCAUUUAUCACCAAUCAUUAAAAUUGCUAAAAAUAUUUUCACUCACUGUCUCGAAUAUUGUUAUUCUCUCUCUCUAAAAAAAGAAGAUUCAAUGCAGAAGAGGCAUGGGUUAUGCAAAAAUAUGCGAGGAAAUAAAAAGGGGCAAGUCCCCGGAACCUCAAAAAAGAAAGAAAAAGAGCGAGACGAGAGGUAAAAAUGGACAAGUGUCCGAAGUAGAAUUAGGGGUACAAAGAUGCCCACUUGAGCGGAAAAAAUGGACAAGUGUCCGACAGUAGAAUUAGGGGUAUCCACUACCCACCUGAAAAAAGAGAGAGAGAAAAAAAAGAUAGCCCAUGUUCUCCCAAAGCAAAGAUCAAAGAAGAGGAGAGAUAGCAAUAUAAGGAGCAAUGAGAACUAAGUUUUAUUAACACUUAUGCAUUUUCACCAUCACUAUCAUUUACUCCAUCACAC
This 613-nucleotide long non-coding RNA is filed under the name Sorghum bicolor (sorghum). Its description in RNAcentral is "long non-coding RNA (SBIC_LNC001349)". The record is from RNAcentral. Lineage: Eukaryota; Viridiplantae; Streptophyta; Magnoliopsida; Poales; Poaceae.